GGAGGUGUAGCUCAGUGGUAGAGUGGCAGAGUGCUUGCUUAGCGUGCACAAGGCCCUGGGUUCAAUCCCCAGAACCACCA
RNAcentral lists this transfer RNA (80 nucleotides) under Ictidomys tridecemlineatus (thirteen-lined ground squirrel). Its description in RNAcentral is "Spermophilus tridecemlineatus (thirteen-lined ground squirrel) tRNA". It matches the Rfam family "tRNA". From Rfam's summary of the family: Transfer RNA (tRNA) molecules are approximately 80 nucleotides in length. RNAcentral also lists the same sequence under 1 other name. The record is from Rfam by way of RNAcentral. Lineage: Eukaryota; Metazoa; Chordata; Mammalia; Rodentia; Sciuridae.